AGUCUGAUUCACAAUACAUGAUACUGCAUUAAAAUUUUAUACCUAUUUCUCUCUUUACCUAUUUUUGCAAGCAAGUGUACAUUGCACUUCUUAAUUAUUCAUAUUGAGAUAUUUGCUCAAAACAACAGUAAGUUCUUUUGGAGUUAGGUGCUACUAAGUCAACAUCACGCAUUCACCCUGCAUCAGUUGUCCAUUAAAAGAGAGUCAUCCUUUUACACAUACCGCUGGUUCUUCGUUUACUAAAUCAGAAAAGAGGAACUUUUUAAUUGCUAUUGAGCCUUAUUAUUUUAUUUUUCAUUUAUGUUGUUUUCAAACCAAGAAGCCAAAAUACUUUCAGAAAGUUUGCACGAAGCAAAUUAGCUACAUCAGAUACAUGUAAGACUGUUGCAGCAUAUUCUUGAAUAUGGAAAUGGUACGUUUUAUAUGGCCAUGGCCCAUGAGUUCAUAAAAAGAUCAUCCGAGUGGGACAUCAGCUUUUUGAAUUCUAUUUUAUCUAGAUGCAAAUAUUAAGUUGCCACUUUUAAAUAAGAGAUUGAAAUAAGCAUUUCUGGGAGAGAAAAGAUAAAAUAUGUUCUGUUGGAAAGACAAAGAAACAUGAUCAUUAAUGACACAAAUUAUUUUCAUGCAUAUAAAAAAAGUAAGUAUACUUUUCCCUGCUUCAUUAAUUUAGUGUUAAGGUUGUGGUGAAAGUCUCUCUAAUUUGUAUAUAGAUAGUCAAAGCCUAUUUGCCUCCGAUUAGUUUGGAUCUCAAUUAUUUUUUUAUUAAGGCCUUGUUGAAUCUUUAACCUAGCAGUUUACGAGCAAUACAUUGCAUGUAUGUGCUUUAAUGAAAGUUGAUUCCCCGCUGGUGGAAAAUUUUUGAUGAUUGAAUGUUGUCAUUAUUUGGAGUUAUUUCCUCUUUGUUUCGCUUUUUCAUCUGCAGAUUACUUAAUUUCCAUUGAAAAGCAUCUUAGUGAAAGGUGUAUUUUUCUCACAUUAGAUUAGUAUUUCCAGAUCUAAUUAUCAAGUGCCCUUGAGAAUAAGGUGCCACUGAAGUGUACAUAUCUCAAAAAUGAGAAUUUCCAACUCCUUACCAAAAAAAUAAAUAAAUAGAUAAAUAAAUAAAUUAGGAUUCGCAUCUAUUGUGACGCAGCAGCACUUAUAAUGCCAGUAAGUAACCUCGAUUGCUAAUGUCUUCUAGAGUAAUAUAGAGAGCAUUAAUGAUACUCUUCAUCUUGUGAAAAUAUGCAUUUAGUGUUUAUACUUGCUGGUGUACUGGAGGAGAGUGAAUCUCAACUCCUUUUUUUCAAUAAAGAUAUCAACUCAGUUUUUCAUCGCUUAGAAAAUUUUGUUUUCUGCUGAAUGCAAUAAUAGCAUACGGCAUUGAAAGUUGGUUUAGUGUGACUUAGGUCAAGGAUGUUCAUCGUUCCUUUUUUGAUUUUCAUGAUUAGAAUAUUCACUCCCUUUUUACAAUGUUUAAGAUUAUAAGUGGUUUUCUACAGAUUUGCACAUUUGAGGCCAUUGAAAAGUGCCAUUGAGAAGUAUAUAACUAGUAUGUGCCCGUUUGGUGGCAUUCCUUGGAAGAAUAAAUAGAAUUGUACUUUGUAUCUGCAUACAAGGACAUAGAAAAAGACCUUCAACUCCUCUUCUUAGAAGUGCUUCUCAGUGUCUCAGCCAGACAGGGUCGAAGUAUGAUCUCUCAGAGCUUGGAGGAAAAAAAGUAUUUUCCUAGAGGUUCAAAAUGGUCCUUGAAAGUUAGUAUCGUUGCAAACAACUCAUCACUCAAGUGGAUAUUUCACAAUAGUUUGAGUAUCUUGUAGAGCUUUGUUCCUCAAUGUAGGAGAACUCUUUGAAGUGUGAGUAUGUUGCAAACAUUGAAUCACUGACAAUCGUGCUUCCUUUUUAAGGGAUCUAGAUCACUGAGUAUGAAAAUAUCUUUUUGAUGUUGACAUUAUUUUAUUAAUCUUGUGAUGUGCAAAUAUACAAAGGAUUGUGUUGG
Molecule: long non-coding RNA, 1978 nt
Organism: Lycium barbarum (goji berry)
Lineage: Eukaryota; Viridiplantae; Streptophyta; Magnoliopsida; Solanales; Solanaceae
Exons: 3
Source: RefSeq, a predicted model, not a curated record